GAACGCUGGCGGCAGGCCUAACACAUGCAAGUCGAGCGGUAGCACAGGAGAGCUUGCUCUCCGGGUGACGAGCGGCGGACGGGUGAGUAAUGUCUGGGAAACUGCCUGAUGGAGGGGGAUAACUACUGGAAACGGUAGCUAAUACCGCAUAACGUCGCAAGACCAAAGUGGGGGACCUUCGGGCCUCAUGCCAUCAGAUGUGCCCAGAUGGGAUUAGCUAGUAGGUGGGGUAAUGGCUCACCUAGGCGACGAUCCCUAGCUGGUCUGAGAGGAUGACCAGCCACACUGGAACUGAGACACGGUCCAGACUCCUACGGGAGGCAGCAGUGGGGAAUAUUGCACAAUGGGCGCAAGCCUGAUGCAGCCAUGCCGCGUGUAUGAAGAAGGCCUUCGGGUUGUAAAGUACUUUCAGCGAGGAGGAAGGCAUUAAGGUUAAUAACCUUAGUGAUUGACGUUACUCGCAGAAGAAGCACCGGCUAACUCCGUGCCAGCAGCCGCGGUAAUACGGAGGGUGCAAGCGUUAAUCGGAAUUACUGGGCGUAAAGCGCACGCAGGCGGUUUGUUAAGUCAGAUGUGAAAUCCCCGGGCUCAACCUGGGAACUGCAUUUGAAACUGGCAAGCUUGAGUCUUGUAGAGGGGGGUAGAAUUCCAGGUGUAGCGGUGAAAUGCGUAGAGAUCUGGAGGAAUACCGGUGGCGAAGGCGGCCCCCUGGACAAAGACUGACGCU
Molecule: ribosomal RNA, 727 nt
Filed under: Raoultella sp.
Lineage: Bacteria; Pseudomonadati; Pseudomonadota; Gammaproteobacteria; Enterobacterales; Enterobacteriaceae
Description: bacterial SSU rRNA
Rfam family: Bacterial small subunit ribosomal RNA
Source: RNAcentral